Molecule: long non-coding RNA, 5932 nt
Organism: Anolis carolinensis (green anole)
Lineage: Eukaryota; Metazoa; Chordata; Lepidosauria; Squamata; Anolidae
Exons: 3
Source: RefSeq, a predicted model, not a curated record
GAGCAGCGAGGGAGCAGUGGACGAGUGACAAGCGGCGAGGGAGCAGCGAACGAGAGUGGAGAAGUGGCGGUCGAGUGGUUGACGGCAAGGGAGCAAUGGACAAGAGGCAAGAAGUGAGGAAACAGUGAAUGAGAGCCAAUAAAAGGCCUGGUGGUGUCCAUGCUCUGGCUGAGAAUGGACCCAAACGUGACAGAUAAAACUGAACAUGAGGUUCUCUUUUGCUCUCUUGGUCUGUGACAACCAAUGAUGUGCAGCUUUGCUGGAAAAACCUGGUAGAUGUUGAGGUCCACUUGUACAGUUUUCUUUUACCAGAUGUUACUUCUCAAGAAGGGAAGUGGAAAUGUGGCCUGCUAUAUAUAAUAUCUACUUUUGUUCUAAAAUGCAUCAGAAAAUAUGUGCUGCAUAAUAUAUGUGGCAGUGAGUGAGUGCCUUUUUAUCCUGGAUAUGUGCAUUCAGAAGCCAUUAAUACACUGUAAAAUAAAUAUUUUCUGGACAUGAUAACAGAUUUUUUGACAAAUGUAUUUCUGCAUUACGAAAUAUACAUUGUGAAGCAGUCUUGAAAGGAUAUGUGGAUAAGAGCUGGAACCUUUACAUUGUCUGGAAAAUCCCCUCUAACAGGAGCCACAAGGACCAUAUGUAGGACCACAUGAAGAGAUGAGCUGUAAAUGGGAAUUGCAUAGCAGCAAUUGCAGCCAGAAUUGAGGGGCGGGGCAGGCAUAGGGCCAUGAAUAGUGACUAAAGUGAGGGUCAUUAUCUGCCUUUCUCCCUUGUGAACACAUCUGGCCUACUCGCAUACACAUGCUCCUCCCAUAGACAUACAUACACUCAUCCACACACAUUAAGGGAAGGAUGUCUUAUAGAAAGAGUUUUUCUCUUUGACAUCUCCUCUAUUGAACAGCUGACAGGAAGAUGCAUUUGCAGUCGCUGCAGUGUAUAUGAGGGGCAACUGGGAAGGGACCUAAGCAGAGACACUUAUAUAAGUCCAAAACUUGGAAAUUUAUUUUUAAAACAAUUAAAUACCAUUAUCGUCCCAAAGUCCUGAAACUACAGUUAUUAUUAUAGUUAUAAUUUUAAAUGUUGCUUUUUCCUUUCCUUUUUCAGCAAGCAUAAUCAAAACCUUGGCCAGAAUACUCUAUCACAGUUAUUAAUUUAUGCAUUUCUGUCCCCACUUACUAAGCAGUAGCCAUUGUGAUCGACAGGGGUUUUACUGUUGAUUGAGAAGGAGCUGACUGAUAUUUCUUUUACCACUAAUAUGUUAGAGGGGAUUGCAAGUGGAUGUUGUCUUCCUAUUACACCUGAGAUUUCUCAUGGGAGGGGGUGGAACUGUCGGACAACUAUUUUUCAAUGAACAUAGGAACAGCCCCAUGCUGAUCGCAGCAGCUACUUCCCGGUAAUUGAGGAUUGGGGGGAAUCAGGAUAGAAUGUGCUAUGUGGCAUUACAACCAUGGUGCUUAUGCACCAUGUCUACCCAUUUCUUUUAAUUACUUUUAGAAAUACUUAUAUUUAUGAGCUUUAUUUUUGUCCCGCAUUUCUCCCAAUAUAGGGACUUGAGGCAGCUAACAACAAACAUGGCACAAUACAAAGCAAACAUACUACAAAAAACACACACACACAAGCACACACAAUUAAACCUUGUUUGUCAUGGUACAUAAAUUAUUAAGAUGCUUUCAAAACUACACUUUAAAACUACAUGCCCCCACCCAAUCCAGCCCCCAAAUAGCAGACACCUCUUGUAAUAAUGGUUAGCUGCUAUAUAAGGCACACACUGAGUUCCAAAUACUAGGAGAAAAGGAGCAGAUACAUUUUCAGGGCCAGCCUUAGACAUGAUGGACACUUCCCAGAUAACUAAGCCAAAGAGGUAACUGAGCAACUUUGUGGAGUGCACUGUUGUAGGGUUGUCUUGUCAUGUAUCCUGUAUUACAUGGGACAUCCCUUAUUUGAAAGCAAAAAACACUCCACUUCUGCUGGUUUAGAUUAGCUCUGAAGAAUGUUACUUUUUUGGUUUCCGUCUUGACAUUAUUAUUUAUUUCAGAAAAAAGUAGCAUGGCUUUGGUCUUCCAGACUUACAAACCUACCAUGAGGCUUGCACAUUAGAUUGGGUAAUAGACUGGGUUAAAUUGGAAAAAAAAUAACUAUAGAGGGGUUUAAUUUAUGUUGGGGAUGGCAUGGCUAUCUAUGUUAUGACAAAAUGAAAGUAGAUAAAAAUUUCGGGAACCAUUUUGUGAGAUCGUCUCUGAUUAAAACAUGGUUAAAAUAUACAAGAUAUUUUUACAACAAAAUUCCAUUAUGGCUCUCUCCAUUAGAGGCAAGCCAACGGAGAUUACUCGGAUGGGAAAAUUGGCCGUCAUAUAAAGAAAUUAUAAGAAAAAUAAAAUAGAAUUCAGAAAAUCUAUCGAUUAAAGAAUUAGAAGAGAUCCAAAAAAAUUAUAAAAAUGUAUCUUGGUUCCAAUACCACCAAAUAAAAGAAAGUUAUAAAACAGACAAAGAGAUUGGAUUUAAUAUGACUAAUAGUUUUUGGGACGGUCUUCUAAAAAGAAAUAAAAAAGUAAUAAUGAUCUUAUAUAAUAAGAUACUUGAAUGGAAGACAGAAUCUGAAAUAGUAAAGGACUCAAUGUUAAAAUGGUCCAGAAAUGUGGGCAGAAGUAUAACCAUGGACGAAUGGGAAAAUAUCUGGAACAGAAAGAUGAAAUAUUGUUAUUCUAUAGAAUUAAAAGAAAAUUGGUUAAAAACAAUUCAUAGGUGGUAUCUAACACCAAAAAAACUUGGAUUAAUGUACAAAAAUAGAGAUAAGAAAUGUUGGCGAUGUAAAGAAAAGAUAGGGUCAUAUUUUCACGUUUGGUGGAAUUGUAAAAAAAUUAAAAAUGAUUGGAAAGAGAUCCAUAUGGAAUGUAAAAAAAUUCUAAAAAUUGGCCUUGCUUGUAAAUCGGAAUAUUACCUAUUAGGACUUUAUGAUAUGAAAAACAAGGAUAGAAUAUGCUCUCCAGGGGAAAAAGAAAAUAAAUCUAAAAUUUAUAUAUAUGCUGUAACAGCAGCAAGAAUAGUGAUAGCCAAAAAUUGGAAAAACCCUAAUUGCCCUACAAAAGCAAUGUGGUUAGAGAAAUUAAUGGAUAUAAAAUAUAGGGAUAAACUAACCUAUUUACUAAAAAGAAGCACCUGUAAGGCGAUGAAAGAAACAGACUGGUCCGAAUUUGAAGAAUACAUAGCGGAAGAACUGAAAGGAUAAGACAAGACGCAGUAUGGAAGAAAGAAGAUUGGAAGUCUACCCCUUCCCCCCUCCCCCAUUAGGCUACCUUUCCGGACAUGUGAAUUCAGACUCCUCCCCGAACUUUCCCUCUGACUCCCCCAAAACCUACCCUCUUACAAAUCGAUCUUUCAAUUCUUUUUAGUCCAAUCUCACCAACCCAAUACUCAUUCACCCCCUAUUAACCCUCCCUGACUAACCUAAACCCUUCCCUCCCCAUACCUUCCUUUAGCAAAACUAGAAGAUGUAAAUCUUUUAAAAAUAUUCUUUAAUAAAAAUGAUUUUUUUAAAAAAGAAAAAAAUAGCAGAACAUGCCUUUACUGUGAGGUGACUCUAUCCUGUUCUGUGACACUUUCAAUAUGAUAAAUAUUAUGGCUGGAACCUUGUUGGUGUCUAAUCCAUCCACAAGCUCCCUAUGACUGAUCAUUUUUUCCCAGUGUGGAACCUCUACAUUUCGUUAGCAUAUGUAUCAUAUGACAGUGCAAUUAUGGUUGCAUAAUACAUAGGUGAAAGUGCAUAUGCAUGCAUAUUGCUAUACAAGCAUCUUCAACAUCUCCGUUACUGGCCAGUAAGUUGCUGUUGCAGGGGCUGCUGCAAAUGCAAGGUGGGUUUGGGGGAGACUGGUUCUUGCAUGGUUGGCAAAGGAUCCCAACCAUUUCCACAACUGAAAAAAAAAAUUAGUUGUGCAGAUUAUAUUGGGCUUUCAUCUCUCUAUACAGGAAGGGCUCUGCUACUGUUUCCUUCCCCAAUCAACAUUCCUCAAUGAAUUACAGACAUUUCUGGAAAAGACUUAAAAAAUUACAUGAUGACAAAAUAUUGAAUGCUCACUAAAUAAACACUAUUUACAUAAGCAUCAGCAGUUGGGUAAUUAUUUUAGAACAAUAUAAUACGAUUAACAAUCAUAGGUUACAAAAUUACUGUGUCAGUAGGGAACUGCUACACCAGCAUUCUCUCUGUAAAGCAAUGUCUUCCACUGCUCACUCCUUAAUCAGCUUAAUACAGGGAAAGAGUGAGCUUCCUGCAGCUUGCAACUUAAGAAGUAGUCAGGUAUUUUCCAAGCCCAGUCCAAUUAUCUGCAUGGUCAGGGAGAGGAAGGGUGAAUGAGCUCAUCUACUCCUUUUGCUCCUAUAUGCUCUUAUCACCAAUUCUAUAACCUGGAAAAUCAAAGUCCUAAAUUGCAUAGAGUAGAGAAUAUUGAUUGAGUAGGGAGAGAAAUUCAGUUCCCAACAUACAGGGAAUCACUUGGUGUCGUGGAUAGGAGGGAUGUUGAACUGGAACCCACUGAAUGGGGAUGUAUGUGAGGGUCAUCCAUGUUCUCAAGAUCACUUGAUGGUAAUGAUGCAUGGAAGAAACCUGAACAGACUUUAUUUUAUAGGAAAAGGUCAGGGGUGGGCAACUUCCAAAAAUUAAAAUACAGUUGCCUGCUAGGAGAUGUGGAGGGCCAUCUGCAUCCACCUAUGAAAAAACCCUUCAAACACCUGGACCAUUUUAGGAAAAACAGAGGUAUUUUUGAAACAGUAAGUAACCCAGAAUUCCCAUCUAUAUUGGCUAGAAUGGUGUUCUAUGGGAGGGUGUGGAUGGACUGUAUUUUUCUCUGGAAAUUACUUGUAUCCUUCACAUAGCUUAGAGUGUUGAUAUGAAUAUGGCCUGAGAAAAUUGAGUCCAUAUAUCUAGACAUCCCAACAAUCAGGGUUCUCAUGCUUGAGCCAAUAGGCCUUCCUGUAUUGCCUCAUUUCUGUUUUUUAUGUAGUAGGUCGAUUAUGCUUAGUUUGGGCUCCUGUUGUAUGUCUAAAAAAUGAACAGUACAACAGGCAGCAGGGCAAAAGCAUUUGUGUGUCAACUCAUUUUCAACUCUAUAGUUUAAGUAAGAAUAACAACCUGAUACUAUUUUUCAAGUAACACAAACAAAUAUUGAUAAUAGCAGAUAUAUUAGAUGAUUGAGAAAGAGAAUGGGAAAAGAGGGAGGAAGUUUUACUCCUUUGUUUCAGCACUAGGACUUAAACCAAUGAGGGACCUGAAACAGUUAAAUUCUUUUACAAUCUGACCCAGGAAAGAAAGCAUCAUAUUCUAACAGAAUCAAUGAACAAUAUGAAAUAUGUUUGAAAAUUAUAAAUGUUAAUUAUAAAUGGCAACAAGUUAUGGAAAAAAGCUCCAUAAUUCUUCAUUAGUCUUACUCUUAAAGGAAUCAAUGAAUAUUUUUAGUAUUUUGUACCAAUUUUCAAGUCUUCAAAAGCUAUGUAUGAAGUUUUUGAAGCCUGCUCACAAUUAAGGACUUCUUCUGGUCAAAAUUUGUACAUAACUUUUUGUGCAAAAACCAGCUUUUUUGUUCACAAAAUGCUGCUUUUAUCAUAUUAUUUUCUGCUCACCAAAAAUACAUGUGAAUUUGUGUGUUGCAUAAGUUCCUAGCUGGUUCUUGGUUUUUAAAAGCAUUUUCCAAAUAUUUUUUAAUAUUCUUAGCAUUUUUAAGAAUCAAGCCUCCCUUGGUCAUCCAACAAAUGGGCUGUGAUUAACAGAAGAUUGUAAUGGAUUGUUUGAAUAAUGUUGAUUGCCUGUUUAGUGGGACCAAAUCUGAACCCUUCCUCUCUUCUCUGAUCCAGCACUGAAUCUUUCAGGCCACUGAUGUCAAAAUCAAGGGCAGCACCUCUUUACUGGGUGAGGAACUGUGUGCAUUACAUUUAGUAUGGCUGGGGG